CCUCUUCCCAUUCCGAACAGAGCAGUCAAGCCCGCCAGAGCCGAUGGUACUGCCGUAAAAGGUGGGAGAGUAGGUCGGUGCCGGUU
RNAcentral lists this ribosomal RNA (86 nucleotides) under Sphingobacterium micropteri. The record is from RNAcentral. Lineage: Bacteria; Pseudomonadati; Bacteroidota; Sphingobacteriia; Sphingobacteriales; Sphingobacteriaceae.